AACAUAAUUCUUUCAGGCAUAGUUGGUAAGUACACCUGUCAUAUAUGCUUCCAAAAAUGUAGCUCAUAAUGAUAACAGAGUGAGAGAAAAACAAAUCUCGAGAAUACAAAAUUCAUUUGUUAUAACCAGUUUUGCUUACACUCUCUCAAAAUAGCCAUCUGUACUAAAAUGUGUACAUAACAGAAAAACUUGCUGCAGUACAAAAAGGUUCGCAUAUAUUUAGACCUUGGAACUUUCUAAAGGCUUGAAAACUUUUCAAAAGCAUCUCUCAUACUUGCUAUAGUAGAAGUGAACAGGAGUUGAUGCAAAUAGAACAGCAGCUGCUUAAAUAAAUCCUAUUACAGUGAUCUAUUUUUUUGUCCCUUAAAAUAAUUGCCUAUUUACUCCCACCCCCGAGGUUCUCCCUGCCUCUUAUUUAAUUUAACAAGCAUUUGCAUGAUGCUUAGUAUAUGAAGGUAAUUUCCUGUCUACUUUAUAAAUAUUAGCUCUUCAUUUAAUCAUCAUAGCAAACUAAAAUGCAGUCAGGAUUUCCCAAAAUUUAGCUACCGUUGAAUAGCUGGGAUCUGAACCCAAGGAGCAUGGUUUCAGCAUCUAUGAUCACUGCAUACUCUACUGAAUCUAUGCUGUAUGUAUGACUGAAAAAGCAAUGCUUCAGGGAAAAAAAUACUGCUAUGCACUAAUUCCUCACCUCCUACGCAAAUUGAGCUCUAUGUCUAUCUACGUUUGGCCAUUUCAAACAAAAUACCUGACGAAUCCUCUUGCAGAUAUUAGACAUCGGUCUACAGAUUCUUAUUUUAUUUUGAAAAGAAAAAGAAACAUGCUUCAUGAUGUACACACAGUUCUUUGAUUUAGUACUAGCUCUGGGGUGGACAGGGAGAACAACUAUUCAAACACAUAUGCCCAUCAUAAAGAGCAUUCUACUUGAGAAAUAUUAAAAUGUUAAAAGGAUAAUACUUAGAACCAAGAAAACAAUGCAAUGAUUUAAUUCCUUCUUUUUAUGGAUUUCUUUCUAUUUUGUUUUAACAAGGACCUGAUCUACACAUAGCUUUUUAACUGCCUUUAAUACUUAUUUAAAGUAGAUAGGAUAAUAGCAAUAAACAAAUUGCUUUUAAUUCUUGGAAAUUAUCAUUUUUAUUAAGAUAAAUCCUAUGCUAUGCUACUCCGGAUCAAUAUUUGAUAGGAUGUUACUGGCAUUGUUGAUGUAUAAAUGUGUAAACAUUUAAUAUACUAACCUACAAUCCUCUACACAAUAUUCUUUAAUAAAAUAGGGUAGGGAAAUAAAAGUUAAAGAGUUAACAAAAGCAUCUUGGUGUAAAGUGGGAAAUUAAAGUAUUAUUUACUUAGUUUUAAUUCUCUUUAAGGUAACUGCUCUGGUAAUUUAUUGCUAUAUAACAAACUACACCAAAAUUAGUGGCUUAAAAUACCAAUAACCUUUAGUAAUUGUUUUUUGUUUUUUUUUUUCAAAAAUCUGUGAUUUGAGUGAGGCUAGAGCUCAGAGUCAGGGACUCAUCUCUGCUCCACACAGCAUCAGCUGGGGUAACUCAGUUGUGCUGGAGGACCUGUUUCAAAGAAGACAGUCAAGUGGUUGUUGACCUAAGAUUGUUGGCCAAAAUCUUUGAUCUCUGUCCAUGUGGCCUCUACAUGGAGCAUCCUGGACUUAAUCACCACAUAAUGUCUUGGUCCCAGCAAGUCUCAAGAGUCUGGCAAGUUUCUAUGACAUUUCUCUGCUCUGGCCUCUAUGCUGCAGAAAAACACUUUUGCAGCAUUCUGCUAGAAAAGCAAGUCACCAUGGCCAGCCCAGAUUCAAAAGAAAGGGAAUUACGAGUUCCCGUUGUCACUCUGUGGGUUAAGUACCCAACUAGUAUCCAGGAGGAUAUGGGUUCAAUUCCUGCCCUCAAUCAGUGGGUUAAGGAUUCAGCGUUGCCACAAGCUUCAGCAUAGGUCACACAUGCAGCUCAGAUACGUCUCUAAUCCUGGCUCAGAUCCUGCAUUGCUGUGUCUGUUGCAUAGGCCUGUAGCUGCAGCUCCCAUGACCCCUAGCCUGGGAACUCCCAUAUACCACGGGUGCCGAAGAAAGGAAAAAAAAAAAAAAGGAAGAAAGGGGAUUAGACUCUCCACAUCUAAUUUUUGUCAGCCUGUUAGAUACAACUGUUUUGUUAUUUUAAUCAUCUAUUUGGGGUUUAUAGGGUAUACAUCUUUAACGUAUCUCAGUCUACUUGCAAAUGAUUCUUGGCCUGGGAACAUCCACAUGCUGAGGGUGUGGCCAAAAAAAAAAAAAAAAAAAAAAAGGAAGAAUCUUCUUAGAUUGUACUUUCAUUUCUGGCCUUACGUAGACAUUAUGGUGUUGUUGUCAUACAUUUUACUUAUACAUC
This 2372-nucleotide long non-coding RNA is filed under the name Sus scrofa (pig). RNAcentral's name for it is "lncRNA (ENSSSCG00025019882.1)". Lineage: Eukaryota; Metazoa; Chordata; Mammalia; Artiodactyla; Suidae. The record is from RNAcentral.